Molecule: small nuclear RNA, 163 nt
Organism: Saimiri boliviensis boliviensis (Bolivian squirrel monkey)
Lineage: Eukaryota; Metazoa; Chordata; Mammalia; Primates; Cebidae
Gene: U1
Rfam family: U1 spliceosomal RNA
About the family: U1 is a small nuclear RNA (snRNA) component of the spliceosome (involved in pre-mRNA splicing). Its 5' end forms complementary base pairs with the 5' splice junction, thus defining the 5' donor site of an intron.
Source: Ensembl
AUACUUACCUGGCAGGGGAGAUACCAUGAUCACAAAGGUGGUUUUUCCAGGGCCAGGCUUAUCCAUUGCACUUCAGAUGUGCUGACCCCGGCAAUUUCCCCAAAUGUGGGAAACUCGACUGCAUAAUCUGUGGUAGUGGGGACUGCGUUCGCGCUUUCCCCUG